Molecule: small RNA, 559 nt
Filed under: Histoplasma capsulatum var. duboisii H88
Lineage: Eukaryota; Fungi; Ascomycota; Eurotiomycetes; Onygenales; Ajellomycetaceae
Description: Histoplasma capsulatum H88 hypothetical RNA
Source: RNAcentral
ACCCCGUUUGUCGUCAUCGAUUGACAUAGAAUGAUGACUAUCAUCCUCAUCAUCCUCAGUAUCCUCCGUUAUUGGCCUGUCUUCCUUUCCACUACGGUCCUCAUCCGUAAUUUCACCGUUCAGGAUAUUACCUAGAUCGCUACUAACGGAGCCGUUGGAGAGUUCAUCCGCUUCGGAUGUAAGCUCGAGAUCAUGCUCCCCAUUUUGGGUCUCAUGGGCCUUUUUAUGAGAGUUGGAUUUGGAACGGAGGAUGUUGGCCUCUGAUUUUUUUAGUAAAUCAAGCUCGUGAGCGGUCUCUUGCGCAGAGACAUUAAGCACUCUGUUUGCCUGUUCCCAGAUCUGGCGCACUGUAAAACCAUUGGCAUGAAUUUCCUGCAGGUGUAGUGUUUGGGAACGAAAAGGGUGAGGUCUGUCAACACCUUUUCGGGUAUGCGUGUGCUGAAGGCGUCUUUUCUGAGCUUCAGUGAUGUCUGAUGCAAGCGGGUCGAGAUAGCGCUUUGCCACUUCUAUCCAUUCUGUAUGUAAGAAAGUCGUUGGUUUUAAGAAAACCUCUGGGGCC